AUGGACGAAAGUCUGAUGGAGCAACGCCGCGUGAGUGAAGAAGGGUUUCGGCUCGUAAAACUCUGUUGUUAAAGAAGAACAUAUCUGAGAGUAACUGUUCAGGUAUUGACGGUAUUUAACCAGAAAGCCACGGCUAACUACGUGCCAGCAGCCGCGGUAAUACGUAGGUGGCAAGCGUUGUCCGGAUUUAUUGGGCGUAAAGCGAGCGCAGGCGGUUUUUUAAGUCUGAUGUGAAAGCCUUCGGCUCAACCGAAGAAGUGCAUCGGAAACUGGGAAACUUGAGUGCAGAAGAGGACAGUGGAACUCCAUGUGUAGCGGUGAAAUGCGUAGAUAUAUGGAAGAACACCAGUGGCGAAGGCGGCUGUCUGGUCUGUAACUGACGCUGAGGCUCGAAAGUAUGGGUAGCAAACAGGAUUAGAUACCCUGGUAGUCCAUACCGUAAACGAUGAAUGCUAAGUGCUGGAGGGUUUCCGCCCUUCAGUGCUGCAGCUAACGCAUUAAGCAUUCCGCCUGGGGAGUACGGCCGCAAGGCUGAAACUCAAAGGAAUUGACGGGGGCCCGCACAAGCGGUGGAGCAUGUGGUUUAAUUCGAAGCUACGCGAAGAACCUUACCAGGUCUUGACAUACUAUGCAAAUCUAAGAGAUUAGACGUUCCCUUCGGGGACAUGGAUACAGGUGGUGCAUGGUUGUCGUCAGCUCGUG
Molecule: ribosomal RNA, 702 nt
Filed under: Lactiplantibacillus plantarum
Lineage: Bacteria; Bacillati; Bacillota; Bacilli; Lactobacillales; Lactobacillaceae
Description: bacterial SSU rRNA
Rfam family: Bacterial small subunit ribosomal RNA
Source: RNAcentral